Molecule: transfer RNA, 59 nt
Filed under: Chitinophagaceae bacterium
Lineage: Bacteria; Pseudomonadati; Bacteroidota; Chitinophagia; Chitinophagales; Chitinophagaceae
Description: tRNA-OTHER
Rfam family: tRNA
About the family: Transfer RNA (tRNA) molecules are approximately 80 nucleotides in length.
Source: RNAcentral
GGUGGAAUAGCUCAGUGGGUAGAGCAACAGAAAGUACAGGUUCGAUUCCUGUUUCACUU